RNAcentral lists this microRNA precursor (116 nucleotides) under Picea abies (Norway spruce). Its description in RNAcentral is "miR396b stem-loop (pab-MIR396b)". Its record names the gene pab-MIR396b. The record is from miRBase by way of RNAcentral. Lineage: Eukaryota; Viridiplantae; Streptophyta; Pinopsida; Pinales; Pinaceae.
UCAUAGUUUUCCACGGCUUUCUUGAACUUACUUCACGAUCCGGUGUGUUGGCUGCCGAUCGCAUCGAUAACAGAUCCGGGUGACAAGAUCAAGAAAGCCGUGGGAAAUUAUAGAGG